AAUUAUCUCAAAAAAUCUAUGUUCUCUAAAUUAGGUUUUAGUUUUAGACGUUCCUCUCUUCUACGCCUACAUGAAGAAAACCCUUCUCCAGCCACCGAUCUUCAACUAUCAACCCUCUAAAUCAUCUAUAGCAGAUCACGACAUGAAGAAAACCCUUCUCGUGCCACCGAUCUUCAACUAUAAACGCCCUAAAUCAUCUAUAGCAGAUCACGACAUGAAGAAAACCCUUCUCGUGCCACCGAUCUUCAACUAUCAACGCCCUAGAUUAUCCCUUUCUUCUUAUUGCAUGUAUCGGAUAUCUUUGGUGGCGUAGUGUGUAUGCACUCUAGGUGUUCAAUGUAUUGUCUCAUAUAACUAUUGCUACAAGGAUCUCAUUUUAAUACUUGUAUAUGUUUCUUCUGAUUAUCCUAUUGCAAUAUGCUAAGUUGAUUUGUUUAAUAUCAUGAUGUUCUAAGUUGUUUGUUAGAGAUACUGCUCACACAUCAUGUGUUUGGUGAUGAUAAAAUUUGAUCAGUUGGUUAUCAGUUGUUUCCUUCUAAUUUAAUUUAUUUAGUAUUUCACUUCAACGACUCCAUGUAUUUGUAUUUUCAUUCGUGUUGACAUUGCGGCUGACUUUGAUCUUAAAAGACAGCCAAGGCCUCAAGGGGUUCAACGGUAGUUCCAAGGCCAAACCAUGUCAUUGACCGUUGACUCACUAUUUUGUGAAGGACUCAUCAUCUGUUUUGACUAUAAAUGGUCGAUGGAUGACACCGCUCGGAUGUAGCAUUGAUCGACUGUGGAACUUAACAUAUAAACUAAACUUGUGUUGUUAUGCGACAAUCAUUGUUGAUCCAUAAUCGAUCUGUACAUAGACCGUGAUGCAUUUGUUAAAGACUUUUUUUGUGUGUUUUUUGGCUAAGAGAAAAAUACAAUAAUAUAAGAUCACAUAAUCAAUUUUAAGUGAUAUUUAAUUUAUAUAUGAUCUUUAUUAUUAUCAUCAAUAUAUACAAAUAACUGCUCGAUGAAAUGCUUCAACUAUGCUUAUAAAGUGUAUAUUUGGCAAUUUAUUUUUCAAUGCUACUUGUAAUUUGCAGAUUCCUUGAUACAUGUCAUCUACUCUUAUUGUAUUUUUUUCAUUUUUUUGGAUCCAGGAUAUAUAACUUGAUCCUAGGAAUGAGGAUAGCUAUGCAACAGCAAAGGCAAGUCCAAGUUUUAUCUUUUAUUGGUUACUUACAAAAUUUAAUUUUUUUAUGUAUAUCUCAAUGAAUUUUGAAUGAUUUUCACAAGUAAUUUUAUAACGUGGGUCCAAAUGGUGUUACGGUAAGCUCUUUAUAUUAAUACAAGCCUAAAUGGAGUUAGAAUUAUGUUAAAGAUAAGUUUGAUUACAAUCUGGUGCUAAAAGGGGCUGAAAGGCAUGAUUGGUUAAAAUCUUACAGUUUUUUUAUAAUUUAAGCUUACGUCAUGAUUGAAAUGGUAGAUUUUGUGAACUUAUUUAUAAUUAGUUUAAUAAAAUUAGGCAAACUAGGUAAAAAGAAUAAAUUCCAUCAUAGGAAGAAUUCAUGGCCUGCUGAAGAAUUUGCGAAUAGAAGUACUCUGCAACAGAUUUCUGUAUCCCGAGAUGGUGGGAGUAAAAAAUACACCUGGUCAACACAACGGGACAAGAAAUGACUGAAUUACUAUGGGGUCGUUGGAAGGAAGCAUCAUGAACUUGAGGUCUGGAUGAGAAAAUCCUUUUCCUUGGACUCAAAAGAGAUCCCAGGUGGUGCUAAUGGAGCCGACUUUGUUGUUGCCUUCACUCGAGUCUUCA
Molecule: long non-coding RNA, 1786 nt
Organism: Helianthus annuus (common sunflower)
Lineage: Eukaryota; Viridiplantae; Streptophyta; Magnoliopsida; Asterales; Asteraceae
Exons: 4
Source: RefSeq, a predicted model, not a curated record